CCUACGGGAGGCAGCAGUGAGGAAUAUUGGUCAAUGGUCGGGAGACUGAACCAGCCAAGCCGCGUGAGGGAUGAAGGUACAGAGUAUCGUAAACCUCUUUUGUCAGGGAACAAAGACGGGGACGCGUCCCCGGAUGAGUGUACCUGAAGAAAAAGCAUCGGCUAACUCCGUGCCAGCAGCCGCGGUAAUACGGAGGAUGCGAGCGUUAUCCGGAUUUAUUGGGUUUAAAGGGUGCGCAGGCGGUCGGGUAAGUCAGCGGUAAAAGCCACGGGCUCAACCCCGGCCCGCCGUUGAAACUGGCAGUCUCGAGUGGGAGAGAAGUAUGCGGAAUGCGCGGUGUAGCGGUGAAAUGCAUAGAUAUCGCGCAGAACUCCGAUUGCGAAGGCAGCAUGCCGGCUCCACACUGACGCUGAGGCACGAAAGCGUGGGUAUCGAACAGGAUUAGAUACCCCUGUAGUC
Molecule: ribosomal RNA, 459 nt
Filed under: uncultured bacterium
Lineage: Bacteria
Description: partial 16S ribosomal RNA
Rfam family: Bacterial small subunit ribosomal RNA
Source: RNAcentral